GAUUUCAGUAACACACAGGGUGCUCAUGUUAUAAGGGUACAGAAUCCUUCCAGAAAACGACCACUGGGCAGAUCAAGAAGAAGAUGGGAGGAUAACAUCAAGAUGGAUCUUAGGGAGCUACCCGAGAGAUGACGACCUGCCAACACCGGAGAUCGACCUUCUGAAUGAAGGCCGCGCCAGAAGAGCAUCAGAGGGCGAAGAAGGAUCGCCUUCUAGUGGACUGAGGAAUGACCAGGCCACGGAAUCAACGAUGCCAGAAAGCAUAGAGAAUUAAUUUUAGUUAAGAAGCUGUUCAAUUAAGAACAUGAUUUCUAAAAGAUUUGAAGUUGUAUAGAAUCAAUUUGUCCACGGUGGUCUAGCGGUCAGAACACUAGCCUUGUAAGCCUGGGGUCCCGGGUUCAAUUCCCGGUGGUGCUCAAAUUUAUAACUUGUGUUGGGCAAGGCCGUGGUCUAAGCAUCACGG
Non-coding RNA from Zootermopsis nevadensis, 463 nucleotides. The record is from RefSeq and is a predicted model, not a curated record. Lineage: Eukaryota; Metazoa; Arthropoda; Insecta; Blattodea; Termopsidae.